This 254-nucleotide long non-coding RNA is filed under the name Lathyrus oleraceus (garden pea). RNAcentral describes it as "Pisum sativum (pea) long non-coding RNA (PSAT_LNC001045)". The record is from RNAcentral. Lineage: Eukaryota; Viridiplantae; Streptophyta; Magnoliopsida; Fabales; Fabaceae.
CAAGUUUGUUCUUUCUUUUGCUCAAGGAUUUUUGGUGAUCCUUCUUCUCGAUUUUCUUCUUAUCCCUAAUUUUUUCCUAGACAGAUUCUUUUGAGUUGCCAGUCCACUAGGAUGCCCUAACUUUUGCUUAAGACGCCUUCUUGGUGUUCAACUUAGCGAGCUUUUUUUUCUUUUUUUCUUCUUUUUGGAAGAUUAUGACUGCCAUGUCAUUGCUUAUUGGGGAACAACUGUAAGACCCUAAUUUUGACCCUAAG